AGCUACAGGCUUAACACAUGCAAGUCGAGGGGCAGCAUGGUCUUAGCUUGCUAAGGCCGAUGGCGACCGGCGCACGGGUGAGUAACACGUAUCCAACCUGCCGUCUACUCUUGGACAGCCUUCUGAAAGGAAGUUUAAUACAAGAUGGCAUCAUGAGUCCGCAUGUUCACAUGAUUAAAGGUAUUCCGGUAGACGAUGGGGAUGCGUUCCAUUAGAUAGUAGGCGGGGUAACGGCCCACCUAGUCUUCGAUGGAUAGGGGUUCUGAGAGGAAGGUCCCCCACAUUGGAACUGAGACACGGUCCAAACUCCUACGGGAGGCAGCAGUGAGGAAUAUUGGUCAAUGGGCGAGAGCCUGAACCAGCCAAGUAGCGUGAAGGAUGACUGCCCUAUGGGUUGUAAACUUCUUUUAUAAAGGAAUAAAGUCGGGUAUGGAUACCCGUUUGCAUGUACUUUAUGAAUAAGGAUCGGCUAACUCCGUGCCAGCAGCCGCGGUAAUACAGAGGAUCCGAGCGUUAUCCGGAUUUAUUGGGUUUAAAGGGAGCGUAGAUGGAUGUUUAAGUCAGUUGUGAAAGUUUGCGGCUCAACCGUAAAAUUGCAGUUGAUACUGGAUAUCUUGAGUGCAGUUGAGGCAGGCGGAAUUCGUGGUGUAGCGGUGAAAUGCUUAGAUAUCACGAAGAACUCCGAUUGCGAAGGCAGCCUGCUAAGCUGCAACUGACAUUGAGGCUCGAAAGUGUGGGUAUCAAACAGGAUUAGAUACCCUGGUAGUCCACACGGUAAACGAUGAAUACUCGCUGUUUGCGAUAUACGGCAAGCGGCCAAGCGAAAGCGUUAAGUAUUCCACCUGGGGAGUACGCCGGCAACGGUGAAACUCAAAGGAAUUGACGGGGGCCCGCACAAGCGGAGGAACAUGUGGUUUAAUUCGAUGAUAUGCGAGGAACCUUACCCGGGCUUAAAUUGCAGAUGAAUUACGGUGAAAGCCGUAAGCCGCAAGGCAUCUGUGAAGGUGCUGCAUGGUUGUCGUCAGCUCGUGCCGUGAGGUGUCGGCUUAAGUGCCAUAACGAGCGCAACCCUUGUUGUCAGUUACUAACAGGUUCCGCUGAGGACUCUGACAAGACUGCCAUCGUAAGAUGUGAGGAAGGUGGGGAUGACGUCAAAUCAGCACGGCCCUUACGUCCGGGGCUACACACGUGUUACAAUGGGGGGUACAGAGGGCCGCUACCACGCGAGUGGAUGCCAAUCCCCAAAACCUCUCUCAGUUCGGACUGGAGUCUGCAACCCGACUCCACGAAGCUGGAUUCGCUAGUAAUCGCGCAUCAGCCACGGCGCGGUGAAUACGUUCCCGGGCCUUGUACACACCGCCCGUCAAGCCAUGGGAGCCGGGGGUACCUGAAGUGCGUAACCGCGAGGAGCGCCCUAGGGUAAAACUGGUGACUGGGGCUAAGUAG
Molecule: ribosomal RNA, 1446 nt
Filed under: uncultured organism
Description: SSU rRNA
Rfam family: Bacterial small subunit ribosomal RNA
Source: RNAcentral